AGCUUGCUGUUUCGCUGACGAGUGGCGGACGGGUGAGUAAUGUCUGGGAAACUGCCUGAUGGAGGGGGAUAACUACUGGAAACGGUAGCUAAUACCGCAUAACGUCGCAAGACCAAAGAGGGGGACCCUCGGGCCUCUUGCCAUCGGAUGUGCCCAGAUGGGAUUAGCUUGUUGGUGGGGUAACGGCUCACCAAGGCGACGAUCCCUAGCUGGUCUGAGAGGAUGACCAGCCACACUGGAACUGAGACACGGUCCAGACUCCUACGGGAGGCAGCAGUGGGGAAUAUUGCACAAUGGGCGCAAGCCUGAUGCAGCCAUGCCGCGUGUAUGAAGAAGGCCUUCGGGUUGUAAAGUACUUUCAGCGGGGAGGAAGGGAGUAAAGUUAAUACCUUUGCUCAUUGACGUUACCCGCAGAAGAAGCACCGGCUAACUCCGUGCCAGCAGCCGCGGUAAUACGGGGGGUGCAAGCGUUAAUCGGAAUUACUGGGCGUAAAGCGCACGCAGGCGGUUUGUUAAGUCAGAUGUGAAAUCCCCGGGCUCAACCUGGGAACUGCAUCUGAUACUGGCAAGCUUGAGUCUCGUAGAGGGGGGUAGAAUUCCAGGUAUAGCGGUGAAAUGCGUAGAGAUCUGGAGGAAUACCGGUGGCGAAGG
Molecule: ribosomal RNA, 651 nt
Filed under: uncultured Enterobacterales bacterium
Lineage: Bacteria; Pseudomonadati; Pseudomonadota; Gammaproteobacteria; Enterobacterales
Description: bacterial SSU rRNA
Rfam family: Bacterial small subunit ribosomal RNA
Source: RNAcentral